RNAcentral lists this non-coding RNA (23 nucleotides) under Cricetulus griseus (Chinese hamster). The record is from RNAcentral. Lineage: Eukaryota; Metazoa; Chordata; Mammalia; Rodentia; Cricetidae.
GAAGUUUGAUCACAUGAGCUGGG